RNAcentral lists this ribosomal RNA (776 nucleotides) under uncultured Neocallimastigales. Its description in RNAcentral is "partial large subunit ribosomal RNA". It matches the Rfam family "Eukaryotic large subunit ribosomal RNA", at positions 22 to 645 of the family's 3401-position model. Lineage: Eukaryota; Fungi; Neocallimastigomycota; Neocallimastigomycetes; Neocallimastigales. The record is from RNAcentral.
GUACACGCUGUGACUAGCAUAUCAAUAAGCGGAGGAAAAGAAACUAACAAGGAUUCCCCUAGUAACGGCGAGUGAAGCGGGAAGAGCUCAAAUUUGAAAUCUUAAAGGGUUUCCCUUUACGAAUUGUAGUUUAAAGAAGUGUUUUCUGUUGAGGUUUUGGUAAAAGUUCUUUGGAAUAGGACAUCAUAGAGGGUGAGAAUCCCGUAUUUGACCUUUACUUUCAACUUUGUGAUACACUUUCAAAGAGUCGGAUUGUUUGGGAAUGCAGUCCAAAAUGGGUGGUAAAUUUCAUCUAAAGCUAAAUAUUGGCGAGAGGACCGAUAGCGAACAAGUACCGUGAGGGAAAGAUGAAAAGAACUUUGAAAAGAGAGUUAAACAGUACGUGAAAUUGUCAAAAGGGAAGCGUUUGACACCAGUGUUGUUUUUCUGAAAAUCAAUUAAAGAACUGUUUAUGCUAAGCUGUUUAGACUUUAUCAGCUAUCUGUUUAGUUUUGAGCCUUUUCUUUAAUGCACUUUUCAGUUAACAAGUCAACAUCAAUUUCUUUUGCUGUAAAAAAGCUUGAGGAAGGUGGCUUGAGAUUCGUCUUAAGUGUUUAUAGCCUCUUGCCUAUGCAGUCGGAGAGAUUGAGGUCUGCAGCGUAGAUCCUUCGGGGCUAAAUGCAUUUGUGCUAAGUUAUAGCAUUUUAUAGACAACUUGUUGACUAUGAUUUGUCUUGUAGCUUACUCGCUUAUGUUAUUUUACCUACGCUUAGGAUGUUGAAGUCAUCGUAUCGCGC